RNAcentral lists this transfer RNA (73 nucleotides) under Bos taurus (domestic cattle). It matches the Rfam family "tRNA". From Rfam's summary of the family: Transfer RNA (tRNA) molecules are approximately 80 nucleotides in length. Their secondary structure includes four short double-helical elements and three loops (D, anti-codon, and T loops). Further hydrogen bonds mediate the characteristic L-shaped molecular structure. tRNAs have two regions of fundamental functional importance: the anti-codon, which is responsible for specific mRNA codon recognition, and the 3' end, to which the tRNAs corresponding amino acid is attached (by aminoacyl-tRNA synthetases). tRNAs cope with the degeneracy of the genetic code in two manners: having more than one tRNA (with a specific anti-codon) for a particular amino acid; and 'wobble' base-pairing, i.e. permitting non-standard base-pairing at the 3rd anti-codon position. The record is from Rfam by way of RNAcentral. Lineage: Eukaryota; Metazoa; Chordata; Mammalia; Artiodactyla; Bovidae. RNAcentral also lists the same sequence under 5 other names.
UCCCUGCUGGUCUAGUGGUUAAGACUCUGUGCUUCCACUGCCAGAAACCUGAGUUCAAUCCUUGGUCAGGGAA